This is a long non-coding RNA of Oncorhynchus tshawytscha (Chinook salmon), 737 nucleotides long. Lineage: Eukaryota; Metazoa; Chordata; Actinopteri; Salmoniformes; Salmonidae. The record is from Ensembl.
GGAGGCUAUAUACAGGGGGUACCGGUACAGAGUCAAUGUGGAGGCUAUAUACAGGGGGUACCGGUACAGAGUCAAUGUGGAGGCUAUAUACAGGGGGUACGGUACAGAGUCAAUGUGGAGGCUAUAUACAGGGGGUACUGGUACAGAGUCAAUGUGGAGGCUAUAUACAGGGUAUUACGGUACAGAGUCAAUAUGGAGGCUAUAUACAGGGUAUUACGGUACAGAGUCAAUGUGGAGACUAUAUACAGGGGGUACUGGUACAGAGUCAAUGUGGAGGCUAUAUACAGGGGGUACCAGUACAGAGUCAAUGUGGAGGCUAUAUACAGGGGGUACCGGUACAGAGUCAAUGUGGAGUCUAUAUACAGGGGGUACCUGUACAGAGUCAAUGUGGAGGCUAUAUACAGGGGGUACCUGUACAGAGUCAAUGUGGAGGCUAUAUACAGGGGGGUACCGGUACAGAGUCAAUGUGGAGGCUAUAUACAGGGGGUACUGGUACAGAGUCAAUGUGGAGGCUAUAUACAGGGGGGUACCGGUACAGAGUCAAUGUGGAGGCUAUAUACAGGGGGUACCGGUACAGAGUCAAUGUGGAGGCUAUAUACAGGGGGUACCGGUACAGAGUCAAUGUGGAGGCUAUAUACUGGGGGUACCGGUACAGAGUCAAUGUGGAGGCUACAUACAGGGGUACUGGUACAGAGUCAAUGUGGAGGCUAUAUACAGGGGGUACCAGUACCGAGUCA